CCUACGGGAGGCAGCAGUGAGGAAUAUUGGUCAAUGGACGAGAGUCUGAACCAGCCAAGUAGCGUGAAGGAUGACUGCCCUAUGGGUUGUAAACUUCUUUUAUAAAGGAAUAAAACGAGGCACGUGUGCCUUUUUGCAUGUACUUUAUGAAUAAGGAUCGGCUAACUCCGUGCCAGCAGCCGCGGUAAUACGGAGGAUCCGAGCGUUAUCCGGAUUUAUUGGGUUUAAAGGGAGCGUAGAUGGGUUGUUAAGUCAGUUGUGAAAGUUUGCGGCUCAACCGUAAAAUUGCAAUUGAUACUGGUAGUCUUGAGUACAGUUGAGGUAGGCGGAAUUCGGGGUGUAGCGGUGAAAUGCUUAGAUAUCACGAAGAACCCCGAUUGCGAAGGCAGCUUACUAACCUGUGACUGACAUUGAUGCUCGAAAGUGUGGGUAUCAAACAGGAUUAGAUACCCCAGUAGUC
Molecule: ribosomal RNA, 460 nt
Filed under: uncultured bacterium
Lineage: Bacteria
Description: partial 16S ribosomal RNA
Rfam family: Bacterial small subunit ribosomal RNA
Source: RNAcentral